This 30-nucleotide non-coding RNA is filed under the name Homo sapiens (human). Lineage: Eukaryota; Metazoa; Chordata; Mammalia; Primates; Hominidae. The record is from RNAcentral.
UAACAAGGUUAGAAUUUGGACCGCGAUGGU